GACGAACGCUGGCGGCGUGCCUAAUACAUGCAAGUAGAACGCACAGUUUAUACCGUAGCUUGCUACACCAUAGACUGUGAGUUGCGAACGGGUGAGUAACGCGUAGGUAACCUGCCUGGUAGCGGGGGAUAACUAUUGGAAACGAUAGCUAAUACCGCAUAAUAUUAAUUAUUGCAUGAUAAUUAAUUGAAAGGUGCAAUUGCACCACUACCAGAUGGACCUGCGUUGUAUUAGCUAGUAGGUGAGGUAACGGCUCACCUAGGCGACGAUACAUAGCCGACCUGAGAGGGUGAUCGGCCACACUGGGACUGAGACACGGCCCAGACUCCUACGGGAGGCAGCAGUAGGGAAUCUUCGGCAAUGGACGAAAGUCUGACCGAGCAACGCCGCGUGAGUGAAGAAGGUUUUCGGAUCGUAAAGCUCUGUUGUAAGAGAAGAACGGGUGUGAGAGUGGAAAGUUCACACUGUGACGGUAUCUUAACAGAAAGGGACGGCUAACUACGUG
Molecule: ribosomal RNA, 505 nt
Filed under: uncultured bacterium
Lineage: Bacteria
Description: partial 16S ribosomal RNA
Rfam family: Bacterial small subunit ribosomal RNA
Source: RNAcentral